This 229-nucleotide ribosomal RNA is filed under the name uncultured bacterium. RNAcentral's name for it is "partial 16S ribosomal RNA". It matches the Rfam family "Bacterial small subunit ribosomal RNA", at positions 568 to 796 of the family's 1533-position model. The record is from RNAcentral.
UACGUAGGCGGAAAAUUAAGUCAGUAGUGAAAUCCUGCAGCUUAACUGUAGAACUGUUAUUGAUACUGGUUUCCUUGAAUAUAGUUGAAGUAGGCGGAAUGUGUAAUGUAGCGGUGAAAUGCUUAGAUAUUACACAGAACACCGAUUGCGAAGGCAGCUUACUAAGCUAUGAUUGACGCUGAGGUACGAAAGCGUGGGGAGCGAACAGGAUUAGAUACCCUGGUAGUCC